Molecule: transfer RNA, 66 nt
Filed under: Hypsiglena torquata (night snake)
Lineage: Eukaryota; Metazoa; Chordata; Lepidosauria; Squamata; Dipsadidae
Also listed under: 3 other names
Description: tRNA-Phe
Source: RNAcentral
GUUAUCAUAGCUUACCCUUAAAGCAUAGCACUGAAAAUGCUAAGACGGUUUAAACCUGAUUUAACA